UACGUAGGGGGCAAGCGUUGUCCGGAAUCAUUGGGCGUAAAGAGCGUGUAGGCGGCCCAGUAAGUCCGCUGUGAAAGUCAAAGGCUCAACCUUUGAAUGUCAGCGGAUACUGCUGGGCUAGAGUCCGGAAGAGGCGAGUGGAAUUCCUGGUGUAGCGGUGGAAUGCGCAGAUAUCAGGAAGAACACCCGUGGCGAAGGCGGCUCUCUGGGACGGUACUGACGCUGAGACGCGAAAGCGUGGGGAGCGAACAGG
RNAcentral lists this ribosomal RNA (253 nucleotides) under uncultured bacterium. Its description in RNAcentral is "partial 16S ribosomal RNA". It matches the Rfam family "Bacterial small subunit ribosomal RNA", at positions 524 to 776 of the family's 1533-position model. The record is from RNAcentral.